RNAcentral lists this ribosomal RNA (336 nucleotides) under Triticum aestivum (bread wheat). RNAcentral describes it as "partial small subunit ribosomal RNA". The record is from RNAcentral. Lineage: Eukaryota; Viridiplantae; Streptophyta; Magnoliopsida; Poales; Poaceae.
AUGAGCACGCCUAUAUUUGCUUGUUAUGAUCUAGUGGGCACCAUUAACAUUUGCUAUUCCUUCUGCAGGGCCCAAACCCACUAUCGUGCAAGAAAAAUAAAUCAAAGGCCCCACCAUCAGCUGCUCAAAUCAUCAGAUGAGCCAUCAGCUUCUCCUGCUCCUCCUCCUGGUAUACACGAACUCCAGUUCGUCGAGAGGCUCCCUGGAGCAAUGGCAUGCUCCAAGCCCGCCGAGACUGAAUCAUUCGACAUCAAUUCUCUGCACAGCGUGGCUCGACGUGCAGCCCGCCGGCUCCUUCGUGUACGUCCAGACAAGAUGCUAUGGUGUACAAUUUAA